UGAGGAACAUGACCUUCGGCGGGGGAUAGCCGGCCCAACGGCCGGGUAAUACCGCGUACGACCUUUUGGGGACAUCCCUGAUUGGUGAAAGCAGCAAUGCGCCGAAAGNGUGCCUCGCGGCCUAUCAGCUAGUUGGUGGGGUAAUGGCUCACCAAGGCGACGACGGGUANCUGGUCUGAGAGGAUGGCCAGCCACAGUUGGGACUGAGACACGGCCCAGACCUCCGUACGGGGAG
This 235-nucleotide ribosomal RNA is filed under the name uncultured bacterium. Its description in RNAcentral is "partial 16S ribosomal RNA". It matches the Rfam family "Bacterial small subunit ribosomal RNA", at positions 118 to 347 of the family's 1533-position model. The record is from RNAcentral.